Nyctereutes procyonoides (raccoon dog) is the source of this 3947-nucleotide RNA transcript. It is a transcript of the gene named beta-1,4-N-acetyl-galactosaminyltransferase 4, with no coding region annotated. The transcript is spliced from 18 exons. The record is from RefSeq and is a predicted model, not a curated record. Lineage: Eukaryota; Metazoa; Chordata; Mammalia; Carnivora; Canidae.
GCCGCGGCACGGGGCGCGCGGGAACUGGGGGCCGCAGCGGCGCCGCUGAGCACGCCCCAGGCGGGGCGGGGACGGCGCGAUGCCGUGGUUCCCGGUGAAGAAGGUCCGCAAGCAGAUCAAGCUGCUGCUGCUGCUGCUGCUGCUCACCUGCGCCGCGUGGCUCACGUACGUGCACCUGAGCCUGGUGCGCCAGGGCCGCGCGCUGCGCCAGCGGCUGGGCUACGGGCGAGACGGUGAGAAGCUGAGCGGAGUGACCGAGGGCAGGGGCGUCCGUGCUGCGCUGUCCACGCACAGGGCAGAGGACUCCAGCGAGAGCCGAGAGGAGGAGCAGGUGGUGAGCGGGGCCGCGGGCAAGAAUGUGCUGCGCCGGGCCCAGGCCCCGAGGCCACGCACGGGCUGGUGUGUGGAUGCAGGGGUGCGGCUGGCUGGCACCCGUGUGGCCUGGCCCGAGUUCCGUCCGUGCGGAUGCAGGUGGUGCCUCGCAGGCUGGCCCAGGGUGCGGCUGGCAGGCAUGUUGGGGCUGUCAGGACGUGUCGCCUGGGGGACGGUGGACUUGGGGCUUUCCAGCUGGCGGCGUGCAGGGCAGUCCUUGUGCUGUUUGUGUCGGGCUGUGUGUGCUUGUGUGACCCCUACCUGCCCUCCGUGUCUCAGCGUUGACCCCGUUGACCCCGGUGCCUUUUCUCUCCUGGAGUCUGAAGGCCGGGACCCAAACCUGCCGUUCCCUGCAGGGGCCAGAAAACCGCCCCCUCUGAACCUCACUCAUCAGGUGCCCCCGUGGUGGGAAGAGUACAAGGGGCAGGCGAACCUGCACGUCUUUGAGGACUGGUGUGGAGGCGCCGUAGGCCAUCUGAGGAGGAACCUGCACUUCCCGCUCUUCCCCCACACCCGCACCACCGUCAAGAAGUUGGCUGUGUCCCCCAAGUGGAAGAACUACGGACUACGGAUUUUCGGCUUCAUCCACCCAGCGAGAGAUGGAGACGUCCAGUUCUCUGUGGCUUCAGAUGACAACUCUGAGUUCUGGCUGAGCCCAGACGAGAGCCCGGCGGGCGCCCAGCUGGUGGCCUACGUGGGCAAGACCGGCUCAGAGUGGACGGCACCUGGAGAAUUCACCAAGUUCAGCUCCCAGGUGUCCAAACCCAAGCGGCUCAUGGCCUCCCGAAGGUACUACUUUGAGCUGCUGCACAAACAGGAUGACCGAGGCUCGGACCAUGUGGAAGUGGGCUGGCGAGCCUUCUUGCCGGGCCUGAAGUUUGAGGUCAUCGGCUCUGCUCACAUCUCCCUGUACACAGAUGAAUCAUCCCUGAAGAUGGACCAUGUAGCACACGUGCCCCAGUCUCCAGCUAGCCACGUGGGGGGGCACCUGCCGCAGGAGGAGCCCAGAGCUGACAUGCUGCGCCCAGACCCCCGAGACACCUUCUUCCUCACGCCCCGGGUGGAGCCUUCCAGCCUGGAGAAUGUGCUGGAGCCCUGCGCCUACGCCCCCACCUACGUGGUCAAGGACUUUCCCAUUGCGAGAUACCAGGGCCUGCAGUUUGUGUACCUGUCCUUCGUCUACCCCAACGACCACACGCGCCUCACUCACAUGGAGACUGAAAACAAAUGCUUCUACCGGGAGUCGCCGCUGUACCUGGAGAGGUUCGGGUUCUAUAAGUACAUGAAGAUGGACAAGGAGGAGGGCGAGGAGGACGAGGAGGACGACGUGCAGCGCCGGGCCUUCCUCUUUCUCAACCCGGAUGACCUCCUGGACGACGAGGACGAGGGGGAGCUGCUGGACAGUCUGGAGCCCACGGAGGCGUCCCCCCCACGCGGCGGCCGCCUCCCCUCGGCCGCGGCCCCCACCCCGCCGAGCCCCAGGCGCUCCCGGGCGCUGAGCUGGGCCGCGCGCCCCCCGCCCCUGCUGCUGGGCCGCGCCCCGCGCCCCCGAGCCGCGCCCGCGCCGCCCAAGGUGUACGUGACCCGCGUGCGCCCCGGACCGCGCGCGCCCCCUCGGGCCCUGGCGCACCUGGGCCUGCGCAGCCCCCCGCGGCCGCCCUUCCCCGGCGGCUUCCUCCGCCCCCGGCCGCUCCCCCGCAUGCAGCUGCGGGCGCCCCCCCGGCCGCCCCGGCCUGGGCCCCGGCCUCCAGGCCGCAGGACCGGCCGCCCCCAGGCCGCGCAGACGCGGACCCCCGCCCAGGCGCAGGCCACGCGGGGCAGCCGGGAAGGCCAGGCGCGCGUGCCCGCCCUCGCCGCGCCCACCGCGGGCUUGAACUCGACGUCUGAAGCACAGCCCGUGACUUCCUUCCUGAGCUUGUCCCAGGUGUCCGGGCCGCAGCUGCCUGGGGAGGACGAGCAGGAGGAGGAGGAGGCGGACGAGGACGGGGCCCCGGGCGCCGAGGACAGCGACGAGGCGGCGGGGCCCCCGCGCGGCCGCUGGCGCGAGGACGCCAUUGACUGGCAGCGCACGUUCAGCGUGGGCGCCGUGGACUUCGAGCUGCUGCGCUCCGACUGGAACGACCUGCGCUGCAACGUGUCGGGGAACCUGCAGCUGCCCGAGGCCGAGGCCGUGGACGUGGUGGCUCAGUACAUGGAGCGGCUGAACGCGCGCCACGGCGGGCGCUUCGCGCUCCUGCGCAUCGUGAACGUGGAGAAGCGCCGAGACUCGGCCCGCGGCAGCCGCUUCCUGCUGGAGCUGGAGCUGCAGGAGCGCGGGGGUGGCCGCCGGCGCCUGUCGGAGUACGUGUUCCUGCGGCUGCCCGGGGCGCAUGCCGGGGAUGGGGACACCGACGCCGAGCCCGACGCGCCAAGCCCCGAGCCCGCCCCCACGCGCCCCGACGGCCGCCCCGAGCUCUGCCGGCCGCUGCACCUGGCCUGGCGCCAGGACGUGACAGUGCACUUCAUCGUGCCAGGCCCGUCCUCCCCCAGUGAAGAACCAGGCACGCUGGGUGGCACAGUUCCUGGCGGACAUGGCCGCCCUGCACGCCCGCACCGGGGACUCGCACUUCAGUGUCAUCCUGGUGGACUUCGAGAGCGAGGACAUGGAUGUGGAGCGGGCCCUGCGCGCCGCCCGCCUGCCCCGGUAACCAUGCCCGCACCCCCGCCUCCUGGGGGCCGCAGGGUUCCCUCUGCGCCCCGGGGCCACGCCUGUGACUUCCCGCCCGCUGUCCCUCGUCCCUUCAUCCCCCCCCAGGUACCAGUACCUGAGGCGAACCGGAAACUUCGAGCGCUCCGCGGGCUUGCAAGCUGGCGUGGACGCCGUGGCGGACGCCAGCAGCAUCGUCUUCCUGUGCGACCUGCACAUCCACUUCCCGCCGAACAUCCUGGACGGCAUCCGCAAGCACUGUGUGGAGGGCAAGCUGGCCUUCGCGCCCGUGGUCAUGCGCCUGGGCUGCGGGAGCUCUCCGGGGGACCCGCACGGUUACUGGGAGGUGAAUGGCUUCGGCCUCUUCGGGAUCUACAAGUCAGACUUUGACCGGGUUGGAGGCAUGAACACCGAGGAGUUCCGCGACCAGUGGGGGGGUGAGGACUGGGAGCUCCUAGACAGGGUCCUGCAGGCAGGGCUGGAGGUGGAGCGGCUCCGACUGAGGAAUUUCUACCACCACUACCACUCCAAGCGGGGCAUGUGGGGCACGCGCAGCCGGAAGGGCUCCCGCGGGGGGGGCCCGUGACCAGGCCGCCCGCCUGGCUGCGCCCCGAGGUGGCGGCUGGGGGCCGGGCCCCGGGCCUGGUCCGGGGCGACACAGGGCCCCUCGCAGGGCACCGCCACCACCGUGCCUGGCCCGCGCGGCCACCCCGCGCCCCUCGCCGCGAGGCAGCCUUCACAGCUGCGUGGGGCCCGCCGGUCUCCACACCCUGUGCGAUGAUUUCUGUGAAAUUUUGCCGUAGCGACGACAUUGUUUUCAGGAUUUCCAAGAGUUAUGUCUGUUCCGUUUUUUAUUCAGAAUGAAAUGAAAUAUUUUUUUUAGUUCUGA